AAAACUUGCUGUCUGUCAGUCCGACAUUUGGCAGCAUUGUUUCAAUAUUCAAAUUGGAUCUCCUGCUGUCCCAUAGUAAUGAAGGUGUCGCCUGUCGGGACGAGACAGAAAGGCAGCGUUUGCGCCUUUCUGGCAUCAUUUUUAUGGAUCUAUACAAAACAAAAAUCAACUGAAAAACGAAACGCAGUUAAUUUUCAGUCUUUCCAGCUUCAGAUCUGGGGAAGGGUACCAAAACAUUACAGACUCUUCCUAGAGCUGGCAGUCCAGCCAAACUGAGCAAUCGGGUGAGAAGGGCCUUGGUCAGGGAGGUGACCAAGAACCCAAUGGUCCAACCUGACAGAGCUUGAGAGGAUCUGCAGAGAAGAAUGGGAGAAACUCCCCAAAUACAGGUGUGCCAAGCUUGUAGCAUCAUACCCAAGAAGACUUGAGGCUGUAAUUGCUGCUGUUAGGUUCUUAUUUUUCAGAGUAAACAACUCACGGACAUUAGAGAAGCUUUAACCAAGUAUAAUGUUUCCCAAAGGUUCUGUACAGCUGAAAUCAGACAUCACAGUUUAAAUGCAUCCAACUUAAGACACUCCUCCUCCUUAGUUUAUGGCUCCACAGGAAAGAAUGUAACCAGAUAGCAACCCUGAUUACUCCCUUAAGGGGAACUGACCUCACCUCUCACCUCCUUCACCUAAUCCACAGAUAUCUGUCUUCCCUAUAUCAACACAUCGCUCUCCUCUCCUCCAUCAAAUACAUUCCAAAGCCGCCUUCUUUCUUCAGAGAACCAUUAACUUCUAACAUAACCCAGUCUCUUUCAUUUCCUAUCUCCAUGAUCAAAGUUUAGCCGAUUCCAACACUGCCAAAGGUGCUUCAACAAAGUACUGAGUAAAGGGUCUGAAUACUUAUGUAAAUGUUAUAUUUCAGUUUUUUUAAUAUUUAAUACGUUUGCAAAAAUGUCUAAAAAACAGUUUUUUUAUGGGGUAUUGUGUGUAGAUUGAUGAGGGGGGAAAAACGAUUUAAUCAAUUUUAGAGUCAAGGGGUCUGAAUACUUUCUGAAUGCACUCUGUUGUCUCAGUGACUGUAGGGGGCUAGCACUGUUACAUGCUGCUGCUAUUGUCAUAUCUAUAGGAAAUUAGUUGAAUAGGUUUUCCUGUUCUCUUUUAUUGUUACAG
This 1157-nucleotide long non-coding RNA is filed under the name Salmo salar (Atlantic salmon). RNAcentral's name for it is "lncRNA (ENSSSAG00000098490.1)". The record is from RNAcentral. Lineage: Eukaryota; Metazoa; Chordata; Actinopteri; Salmoniformes; Salmonidae.